Molecule: ribosomal RNA, 650 nt
Filed under: uncultured beta proteobacterium
Lineage: Bacteria; Pseudomonadati; Pseudomonadota; Betaproteobacteria
Description: bacterial SSU rRNA
Rfam family: Bacterial small subunit ribosomal RNA
Source: RNAcentral
CGGCUAACUACGUGCCAGCAGCCGCGGUAAUACGUANGGUGCGAGCGUUAAUCGGAAUUACUGGGCGUAAAGGGUGCGCGGGCGGUCUUGCAAGUCAAAUGUGAGGGCCCCGGGCUUAACCUGGGAAUUGCGUGUGAAACUACAAGGCUAGAGUGCAGCUGAGGGGAGUGGAAUUCCAUGUGUCCCACUGAAAUGCGUACAAAUGUGGAAGAACACCGAUGGCGAAGGCAGCUCCCUGGGUUGACACUGACGCUCAUGCCCCAAAGCGUGGGGAGCCAACUAGUCCACGCCAUAAGGANGUCGAUUAGUAUUCGGAUAUAUNCAAGGAUUUUGUGACGGAGNUAACGGGGGAANCUGACCGNGUGGCGAUGACGGUCGCAAGUUUUCGACUUAUAGGGAUNGANGGGGACCAGCACAAGCGGUGGAUUACCUUGAAUAAUUCGAUGCAACGCGAAAAACNUUACCUACCCGNGACAUGAUUGGAAUAUAAUGGAGACAUAAGAGUACCCGAACGGGAGCCCCGACACAGGUGAUGCAUGGCUGUCGUCAGUUCGACUCGNGAGAUGUUGGGUUAAGUCCCGCAACGAGCGCAACCCUUGUCAUUAAUUGGUAUCAUUUUCAAUGAGCACUUUUGUGAGACUUCCGGUGAC